UGAGGCCCCAGGUCAGGCGGGAUUACCCGCUGAAUUUAAGCAUAUCAAUAAGCGGGAGGA
Molecule: ribosomal RNA, 60 nt
Filed under: Rinorea oblongifolia
Lineage: Eukaryota; Viridiplantae; Streptophyta; Magnoliopsida; Malpighiales; Violaceae
Description: partial 28S ribosomal RNA
Source: RNAcentral